This 839-nucleotide ribosomal RNA is filed under the name Priestia endophytica. RNAcentral describes it as "bacterial SSU rRNA". It matches the Rfam family "Bacterial small subunit ribosomal RNA", at positions 37 to 854 of the family's 1533-position model. Lineage: Bacteria; Bacillati; Bacillota; Bacilli; Caryophanales; Bacillaceae. The record is from RNAcentral.
UGGCGGCGUGCCUAAUACAUGCAAGUCGAGCGGAGUUUUGAAAAGCUUGCUUUUCAAAACUUAGCGGCGGACGGGUGAGUAACACGUGGGCAACCUGCCCUUGAGACGGGGAUAACUCCGGGAAACCGGAGCUAAUACCGGAUAACACAUAUCUUCGCAUGAGGAUAUGUUAGAAGGUGGCUUUUAGCUACCACUCAAGGAUGGGCCCGCGGCGCAUUAGCUAGUUGGUGAGGUAACGGCUCACCAAGGCGACGAUGCGUAGCCGACCUGAGAGGGUGAUCGGCCACACUGGGACUGAGACACGGCCCAGACUCCUACGGGAGGCAGCAGUAGGGAAUCUUCCGCAAUGGACGAAAGUCUGACGGAGCAACGCCGCGUGAGUGAUGAAGGUUUUCGGAUCGUAAAGCUCUGUUGUUAGGGAAGAACAAGUAUCUGUUGAAUAAGCAGGUACCUUGACGGUACCUAACCAGAAAGCCACGGCUAACUACGUGCCAGCAGCCGCGGUAAUACGUAGGUGGCAAGCGUUGUCCGGAAUUAUUGGGCGUAAAGCGCGCGCAGGCGGUUCCUUAAGUCUGAUGUGAAAGCCCACGGCUCAACCGUGGAGGGUCAUUGGAAACUGGGGAACUUGAGUGCAGAAGAGGAGAGCGGAAUUCCACGUGUAGCGGUGAAAUGCGUAGAGAUGUGGAGGAACACCAGUGGCGAAGGCGGCUCUCUGGUCUGUAACUGACGCUGAGGCGCGAAAGCGUGGGGAGCGAACAGGAUUAGAUACCCUGGUAGUCCACGCCGUAAACGAUGAGUGCUAAGUGUUAGAGGGUUUCCGCCCUUUAGUGCUGCAGCAA